UACGUAGGGGGCAAGCGUUGUCCGGAUUUAUUGGGCGUAAAGCGCUCGCAGGUGGUUCAUUGCGUCGUGCGUGAAAGACCCCGGCUCAACUGGGGAGGGUCGUGCGAAACGGGUGAACUAGAGGCCAGUAGGGGGAUGCGGAAUUCCGGGUGUAGUGGUGGAAUGCGUAGAGAUCCGGAGGAACACCAGCGGCGAAGGCGGCAUCCUGGACUGGUCCUGACACUCAGGAGCGAAAGCGUGGGGAGCAAACAGG
RNAcentral lists this ribosomal RNA (253 nucleotides) under uncultured bacterium. Its description in RNAcentral is "partial 16S ribosomal RNA". It matches the Rfam family "Bacterial small subunit ribosomal RNA", at positions 524 to 776 of the family's 1533-position model. The record is from RNAcentral.